CGUGGGUAACCUGCCUCAUACAGGGGGAUAGCAGCUGGAAACGGCUGAUAAAACCGCAUAAGCGCACAGCAUCGCAUGAUGCAGUGUGAAAAACUCCGGUGGUAUGAGAUGGACCCGCGUCUGAUUAGCCGGUUGGUGAGGUAACGGCCCACCAAGGCGACGAUCAGUAGCCGGCCUGAGAGGGUGACCGGCCACAUUGGGACUGAGACACGGCCCAA
RNAcentral lists this ribosomal RNA (218 nucleotides) under uncultured bacterium. Its description in RNAcentral is "partial 16S ribosomal RNA". It matches the Rfam family "Bacterial small subunit ribosomal RNA", at positions 116 to 334 of the family's 1533-position model. The record is from RNAcentral.